GUCAGGUGUGUUUUACGAUAAUAAUUUGGUCCUCUAUUAUCUUUGGUGACAUUUGAGUUCUGGGAGAGUGUUAAAUAAUUUUUAAUGUUGAAUUCUUUGUGAUGAGAAAUUAAAAUUAUAACCUAACAUAGAACAUUUUGUUUUAAUAUCUCUUGUAUUUUAAUUAAUUUAAGGUACAUCUCAAUUAAUAUCCUGCAAAACUGAACUGUUGUUUAUUUUUUCAAAACAAAGUUUUGAGAUCUGCUUGAAAAGAAGUUUUCCUGGCAUCUCUCUGACUCAAGUGAAUACAGUGAGAGGAGUUUGAAAAGAUGGACUGUGACCAUGAGGAUGAACGCAGUGGCCAGUCACCAACUGGAUCGGAAUCCAACUUUCGUGAAGAUAAGCUGCAAGAUAGUUCAGUUCUUAGUACAUCAGCUUUUCAGCACACUGGUAAGACUUUUCUAUUCACUUUUAAUACUUCAGUAUAGAGGAAAAGAACAACUAAAAGUGUGGUUUAUUUAUUUUACAGCAUCAUCUCUUGUAAAAGACUUGGAAUCUACUAGAACAUGUCUAAAGGAUAGUGAAUUAUCACCAACUGAUGAACUUUCUGGGAAGGAAAACUUGUGUCUUAUUUCCCCUCUUAGCAAAUCGAAACCACUAGCAUUUGAUGUGCAUAUCAAAGAAGUCCCAACAGAUUUGAAAAAUCCAUUUCAGAAUGUUCUAAACCCACCUGGCAGUGACAUCAGCAACGCUUUUCCUGUCUGCGUUCAACUACCCACAAACCAUCUUAAAAAGUCACAUAUCACUGCUUAUAAACCAACACACCAUCAUCGCAAAAUCAGCCGGUCCUCCACCUCCACACUGAGUCGUAUGAGCCUGAAAGCCCCUGUUGAAGACCUGUGUGCAUCCUUUCUGUUGGCGUGUUUGUUCUGCAAGUUUUGGGAUUGCAUGCUGGCCGUUGGUGAUGGAUGUCAAUUCUGCGUGGCCUCUAUCUGUUCGUCCUUCUGCUCUAACGCAUGCUGUUGCGACCCUUCCAAUCUGGAGGACUUUAUAGAUUUUUGCACAUGUUGCAGCUGCACUGAAUUCAUGGAGGCAUGCGGCUGCAGGUGUGGAGAAAACGCCUUUGACUGCUCCAUUUGCGAUCUUUGUCUAGAGACGACUGAAUGUCUGGAACUAGGCAUGGAACUCUCCCAGCUUCUGUUUCACUAG
This is a long non-coding RNA of Cyprinus carpio carpio, 1188 nucleotides long. NCBI's taxonomy places the organism in Eukaryota, Metazoa, Chordata, Actinopteri, Cypriniformes, Cyprinidae. The record is from Ensembl.